Humulus lupulus (European hop) is the source of this 1397-nucleotide long non-coding RNA. RefSeq lists it as uncharacterized. The transcript has 2 exons. The record is from RefSeq and is a predicted model, not a curated record. NCBI's taxonomy places the organism in Eukaryota, Viridiplantae, Streptophyta, Magnoliopsida, Rosales, Cannabaceae.
UUGCUUGUUUAUUGAUUGAGUGUUGCUAUUUGACAUUUUAAGGUGCCUAACACCACACGAGGUGACUCUCUAUGAUUGAUUAGCGAUACUCCAUAUUAGUUAUAAAUUCAAAUUGUAUGGAUCCUCAUAUUAAAUUACAAUAAUAGUGGUAUGCCACUUUCACGUGGUGUUAGGCACCAAUGGUGCCCCUUAUUAUUUCUCUUAUUGAUUAGGUAUAAGUUUUUUUUAGGGUAAAUAUCAUUUUGGACUCUGUAUUUUACAAAAAUUACCGAUUGGACCCUGUAUUUUGUUAAAUGACAAUUUAGACCCUGUGUAUUUGCAAAAUGGAAUAAAAUAAUAUAGUGGGUCUGAUUUUGGUCAAACUUUUUUCAAUACGACUAAAAUACCUAUAGUUUUAUCCAAUUAAUAAUUAAUUAAAUAAUUAAAAAAAUAUUUUAAAAUAUAACAUAAAUAAAAUUGAUUUAAAAAUAAAUAUAUAUUUUUUAAAAAAAUUAAAAUUUUCUCUUUUCUCCAUACUCUGUCAUUUCUCUCCUCCCCUUUCGACUUCUUCUUCUUUUGAUUUUCUAGAUGACUUGUAGGAAACCACCUCUCGUCGACGACAUACGCAACACCAACCACCUCUGCUGACAACGUGAGGGAGACCUGGGGUCGUGAACUACUAGUGGCCUCGUUUCUUUAGGUCGACCAACAAUGAAGGGCUACUGACAUACUUACAGAUCUGGUGUCCCCUUCGACUGAGCUGUUGGUUGCAGAUCUGGAGCAUCGACGGAGUUGGGGAGAGUGGCAGAUCUGGAGCAUCUACGUAUCUAGAGGAGAUCUGUAGCAUCUAUAUAUUUUGAGCAGAUCUAGAGCAACAGUGGGACUACAUGAGGGGCUGGCAAUGGCAGGUCAUCGUUGCUGGAGAAUAAGAGAUGGGUAUCGACUGGGGGUGCCGAUCUGAGUGACAUAGUGAAUGGGAAUGUCAAGCACCUCCAUUUCUUCUGAUCUGUUCUUCUACAUCUUCACGGGUCUUGAUCUGAGCUACUUGACAUCCCAAGCUCCAAAAUCCCUUUUAACCCCUAAAAAAAUACAAGAACAAAGGCCAUCAUGUACUUUUUAGGUUGCAAGUGGUGAGAAGCAGAGAUGGAUUUCUAGGUUGCAAUUGGUGAGGACGCAGUGAUGGUGAUGAUGAGAUGAAGAGACGGUGACAAUGAACAUUGUUGAAUCACAACAUCUAAGAAAACCAACCAUUUCCAGAUCCAGAUCUCUUUUUUUGUUUUUUUAAUUCAAUUUUUUAGGAUUUGAUGUUGUUGGUAAAUAAAUGUUUGAAUAUUGGUUGAUUUUAUUGUGUAGAUUUUGAUAUUUGUACAUGUUUAGAUUUUGAUUAAGUAAUAGAUUUUGUUUAAAUUUUGAUUUAA